RNAcentral lists this ribosomal RNA (612 nucleotides) under uncultured bacterium. Its description in RNAcentral is "bacterial SSU rRNA". It matches the Rfam family "Bacterial small subunit ribosomal RNA", at positions 100 to 716 of the family's 1533-position model. The record is from RNAcentral.
GAAAGGGUGCGUAACACGUGAGUCAUCUGCCUGAAAGUGGGGGAUAGCUCGUCGAAAGGCGAAUUAAUACCGCAUGUGGUUGCAAGACAAAGCCGGGGCAACCUGGCGCUUUUAGAGGAACUCGCGGCUAUCAGCUUGUUGGUGAGGUAACGGUUACCAAGGCUUCGACGGGUAGCUGGUCUGAGAGGACGACCAGCCACACUGGAACUGAGACACGGUCCAGACACCUACGGGUGGCAGCAGUCGAGAAUUUUUCUCAAUGGGGGAAACCCUGAAGGAGCGACGCCGCGUGGAGGAUGAAGGCUUUCGGGUUGUAAACUCCUGUCAUUUGGGAACAAGGCCUUACGUUAACUGCGUGGAGGUUGAUAGUACCGAAAGAGGAAGAGACGGCUAACUCUGUGCCAGCAGCCGCGGUAAUACAGAGGUCUCAAGCGUUGUUCGGAUUUAUUGGGCGUAAAGGGCGCGUAGGCGGCGGGGUAAGUCGGGUGUGAAAUCUCAGGGCUCAACCCUGAAACUGCACUUGAUACUGCUCUGCUUGAGGACUGGAGAGGAGACUGGAAUUCACGGUGUAGCAGUGAAAUGCGUAGAGAUCGUGAAGGAAGACCAGGUGGC